AGCAGGUGUCGAGCGAGGAAGGGCUCAACGCCUAUGGCGCGUCGACCUGGGGGCAAUUCUUCAUCUACCAGGGGUUCAAUCCCGACAUCGGCUG
This 94-nucleotide transfer RNA is filed under the name Sphingomonas astaxanthinifaciens DSM 22298. RNAcentral describes it as "tRNA-His". Lineage: Bacteria; Pseudomonadati; Pseudomonadota; Alphaproteobacteria; Sphingomonadales; Sphingomonadaceae. The record is from RNAcentral.